RNAcentral lists this ribosomal RNA (468 nucleotides) under uncultured bacterium. RNAcentral describes it as "partial 16S ribosomal RNA". It matches the Rfam family "Bacterial small subunit ribosomal RNA", at positions 28 to 507 of the family's 1533-position model. The record is from RNAcentral.
GACGAGCGCUGGCGGCGUGCUUAACACAUGCAAGUCGAACGGAAAGGCCCUGCUUUUGUGGGGUGCUCGAGUGGCGAACGGGUGAGUAACACGUGAGUAACCUGCCCUUGACUUUGGGAUAACUUCAGGAAACUGGGGCUAAUACCGGAUAGGAGCUCCUGCUGCAUGGUGGGGGUUGGAAAGUUUCGGCGGUUGGGGAUGGACUCGCGGCUUUUCAGCUUGUUGGUGGGGUAUUGGCUUACCAAGGCUUUGACGGGUAGCCGGCCUGAGAGGGUGACCGGCCACAUUGGGACUGAGAUACGGCCCAGACUGCUACGGGAGGCAGCAGUGGGGAAUAUUGCACAAUGGGCGGAAGCCUGAUGCAGCAACGCCGCGUGCGGGAUGACGGCCUACGGGUUGUAAACCGCUUUAGCCUGUGACGAAGCGUGAGUGACGGUAAUGGGUAAAGAAGCACCGGCUAACUACGUG